Molecule: long non-coding RNA, 205 nt
Filed under: Carica papaya (papaya)
Lineage: Eukaryota; Viridiplantae; Streptophyta; Magnoliopsida; Brassicales; Caricaceae
Description: long non-coding RNA (CPAP_LNC003787)
Source: RNAcentral
UCUGGCCCACGCCCAGCAAGGGCGCGCAUGUGUGGCCCAAGUCCACGCCUUGCAGCAGCCCUGUACAGCCCACAAGCCCGCCCGACAUGUAGGCCUGAGGGGCUGAAAGCACGAGCCCCAUGCUGAAGGGCCAGGAAUUGGCCCAACCCGUAGACAAGCUUUAUGUGGCCAGCACUGACUAGUCUGUCUGACUACACGAGUUACG